This 374-nucleotide ribosomal RNA is filed under the name uncultured bacterium. RNAcentral's name for it is "bacterial SSU rRNA". It matches the Rfam family "Bacterial small subunit ribosomal RNA", at positions 523 to 898 of the family's 1533-position model. The record is from RNAcentral.
AUACGUAGGGGGCUAGCGUUAUCCGGAAUUACUGGGCGUAAAGGGUGCGUAGGUGGUUUUUUAAGUCAGAAGUGAAAGGCUACGGCUCAACCGUAGUAAGCUUUUGAAACUGAGAAACUUGAGUGCAGGAGAGGAGAGUAGAAUUCCUAGUGUAGCGGUGAAAUGCGUAGAUAUUAGGAGGAAUACCAGUUGCGAAGGCGGCUCUCUGGACUGUAACUGACACUGAGGCACGAAAGCGUGGGGAGCAAACAGGAUUAGAUACCCUGGUAGUCCACGCCGUAAACGAUGAGUACUAGCUGUCGGAGGUUACCCCCUUCGGUGGCGCAGCUAACGCAUUAAGUACUCCGCCUGGGAAGUACGCUCGCAAGAGUGAA